GAUACUUUCUUCUCCCCUGCUCUUCUUUUGAGGAGGAGGAGUAAAAGAGUGUUUGUAGUGGAGUUUAGUUGUCCAGAGGGUAAAACUGCCACACAAAUGAGCCUCUUGAAUAGGUUAACAAGUCACUUGUAAUUCAUUUCAUUCUUAGAUUCAGUCUGCAGUCUGCAUGCAGUAAUUUCCAGCUGACAAGACUUUUUUUUAUUGCCAUCUCUUUGUAUUUCAGCUUUUAAUUAUUCCAUAAUGACAGUCUUUGUGAACAACAGUUUUUAAAGCGACAGAUGUAGUGACUUCUGCAUUUUCUGAUAUUAGCAUGCAAAUCAACAUAAAACAUAGCCAGCUUUUUAUAGUCAGCUUUUUUUUUUUUUUUUUUUUUUUUUUUUUGGCAUGUUCUAUAUUGCUUGACACCAGAAUACUUACUGCUUGGAAAGAUGGAGGGAAAAACACUGUGUUUCAUAGCACUAUACAUCAUAAAAGAGCUAUCUGUAAUGACCACAUCAUCAGAUAAUAAUUUUCAAAAUUCCCAUCAUACUUUACCAAACAUGUCCUCAGUUAAACUCCUCCAAACCUGUUUAUUUGAAUUGAAAACAGAGCCUGUUCCUCCAAUGUUUCCAGAGAAAAGACGAGCUCUACUGUGGGAAACUCCCAGUGAUUCCCUGUGGUGA
RNAcentral lists this long non-coding RNA (662 nucleotides) under Anas platyrhynchos platyrhynchos (common mallard). RNAcentral's name for it is "lncRNA (ENSAPLG00000017789.1)". Lineage: Eukaryota; Metazoa; Chordata; Aves; Anseriformes; Anatidae. The record is from RNAcentral.